RNAcentral lists this ribosomal RNA (497 nucleotides) under uncultured bacterium. RNAcentral describes it as "partial 16S ribosomal RNA". It matches the Rfam family "Bacterial small subunit ribosomal RNA", at positions 29 to 507 of the family's 1533-position model. The record is from RNAcentral.
AGUGAACGCUGGCGGUAGGCCUAAUACAUGCAAGUCGAACGGCAGCACAGUAAGAGCUUGCUCUUACGGGUGGCGAGUGGCGGACGGGUGAGGAAUACAUAGGAAUCUACUUUUACUGGGGGAACAUCGGGGGAAAGUUACUAAUACAGCCUAAUAGAUCGAACGGCAUAAUUCAGUGGUUAUAGGCGCUUUUGCUGUUACAUAUAGAUGUAUCGGUGUCGCAUUAGCUAGUUGGUAAGGUAAAGGCAUACCAAGGCGACGAUCCGUAGCCGGUCUGAGAGGAUGAUCAGCCACACUGGAACUGAGACACGGUCCAGACUCCUACGGGAGGCAGCAGUGGGGAAUAUUGGACAAUGGGCGCAAGCCUGAUCCAGCCAUACCGCGUGGGUGAAGAAGGCCUUCGGGUUGUAAAGCCCUUUUGUUGGGAAAGAAAAGCAGCAGGUUAAUACCCCACUGUUCUGACGGUACCCAAAGAAUAAGCACCGGCUAACUUCGUG